GUGGUAAAGUUCAGAUCUCAGAUACUAUCAGCCAUAGGUCUAGUAUAUUUGGUGUGUGGUAGGAUUGUAAGGUGUACAUGUCCAACUUGCAGGUGUCAUCUGACCUUGACCUUAUUUUCAAGGUUCAAUGGUUUAGUUUUUGUGUUUUGGUCUGUUUUAUUAUUAUACUGUAUGCAACAGGUCUACUAUAUUUGAUUUAUGGAAUGAUUGCAAGGUGUGAAAGUCCAACUAGCAGUUGUCAUAUGACCUUGACCUGAUUUUCAUGGUUCAGUGGUAAGAGUUCAAGUUUUUUGGGUUUUGGUCUUUUUUUUCUAAUACUAUAUGCGAUAGGUCAACUAGACAUGGUGGAUGGAAAUAUUUUAUGAUGUAAAUGUCAGUCUCACAGGUUUUAUUUGACCUUGACCCCAUUUCACAGUUAAUUGCUCAGUGUUUGUGUUUUUGUGUUUUGGUCUGUUUUUCUUAAACUAAAAGCAAUAGGUCAAGUAUAUUUUUUAGGGUGGAAGGAUUGUUAGCUGUAUAUGUUUGUCUGGCAGGUAUCAUCUGACCUUAACUUCAUUUUUGGUGGUUCAUAGGUCAAUAUUAAGUUUCAUGGUUAAGUUUGUUAUUUGGAUACUUUAAGCAAUAAGCCAACUAUAUUUAAAGCAUAGAUUGAUUGUAAGGUGUACAUGUCUGCCUGGUAUGGUUCAUCUGAAUGACCUUGGCCUCAUUUUUAUGGUUCAUUAGUUUUCUUGGUUAAGUCUGUUUCUUAGAAUUUAAAUGCAACAGAUCAACUAAGUUUAGUGUAUUCAAUGAUUGUAAGGUGUACAAAUAUUUCUCAUUUGGUUUAUCUGACCUUGACCUCAUUUUCUUGGAUCAUGUUAAGUUUAAGUGAUAGUUGUAGUUAAGCUUGAUAUUUACGAC
RNAcentral lists this long non-coding RNA (900 nucleotides) under Mytilus galloprovincialis (Mediterranean mussel). Lineage: Eukaryota; Metazoa; Mollusca; Bivalvia; Mytilida; Mytilidae. The record is from RNAcentral.